This is an RNA transcript of Cannabis sativa, 3303 nucleotides long. It is a transcript of the gene named protein MLN51 homolog, with no coding region annotated. The transcript has 11 exons. The record is from RefSeq and is a predicted model, not a curated record. NCBI's taxonomy places the organism in Eukaryota, Viridiplantae, Streptophyta, Magnoliopsida, Rosales, Cannabaceae.
AAAUAAUAAAUUUCCAAGUCAUUACCAAUACCAUCGGAUUUCCAUUUCUAUAUUUGAUGACGACGCUCCCAUAAUCUCUCUUCAUUAAAAAUCUAGGGUUUUUUUUCGCCACGGACUAUCCCUAGAUCCCAGUUUCAUUUGAUAAAGCCCUCUAAUUGAUUCAAUUUUCGGUGUGCUUUAGGGUUUUGAUUUUGAGUAAUAUUCUAAUUUUGGCUUGCGGAAAUUUCGGGUUAUUCGUUACGGUAUAUUUUUUUUCCCUUAAUUGGUCGAAUUGGGAGUUUGCUUCGCGAGCAAGUUUUGGUUUUGGUUUUGAUUGUGAGAUUUGGGGCUUGUUGAUUUUUAGGUAAUUGGCGUGUUGGGAUUUAGGGUUUUUGUUAUUGGCAUUGGUUUGUUGGGGUUUUGAAUUGAAGGAUUGGGGAUUUAGGGUUUUUGUUGUUGGGAGAUGGCGACAGUUGGUGGUGCGGAAGAGGUUGAGUAUGACAGUGAUCCAGAGGAGGCGAAGCGAUCCCUUGCGAUGCGGAGGAGGGAAGCGAGCGAUGAUGAGGAAGGAGAGGGAGAGGGUAGUAGUGAAAAGUUGAGGGUUGAUCGUAGGGCUGUUAUUCAUUCUGAUGAAUCCGAUGGGCAGGGUGGGGCAGCCGAGUAUGAUGACGAUGAUGAUGAAGAAGAAUUGGGCUUGGUAGAUGAUGAAGAGGAUGAGGGUGGUGAGAUUGACGAAGAGGAAGAAUUUGAUGAAGAAGAGGUUUAUGAAGCGAGUUCCCAUGAGCGUGAUGGCAGGGUUCCGGCUUCGAUAUCUGCAAUUCCAAAGGAACAUGUUGGUGAUGUUAGGAGGCCUGUGGAAGAAUCAGAAGACGCCCAAUUGGGGAGUCAGGCCGAGGGAGAGGUGGAGGGGGAGGGAGAGGAGGAGAAGAAAGAGAACGAACCUUUUGCUGUGCCUACGGCAGGAGCUUUUUACAUGCAUGAUGACAGGUUUAGGGACAAUAACGGUGGCCGACACAGGCGAACUCAAGGGGGGAGGAAGUUGUGGGAGUCCAAGGAUGAGAGAAAGUGGGGCCAUGACAAGUUUGAAGAGAUAACUUUCCAGGACAGGCAUUAUCAGGAGGGAAGGAGAUCAUCUAGGAGCAAUUAUAGAGGCCGGGGUCGAAAUUCAAAUCGUGGUGUUGACCGUAGUGUUGACCAUGGGUAUGGUAGAGGGAACAGACCUAAAGCAUACAACAACAGUACUAAUCAGGGCCAUGUACCGAAAGGUGUGAGGGGAAAGGGGCUCAGGAAGUAUGAACCUGCUACAAGGAACAACAGUCAGUCACCAUCAAUGUCAAACAAACAAUCUGGGAGGCCUUUUGAGAAACCUUCAAAUUCUAAUUCAGCCAGAGCUUUCACCCCUGCAUCUAAUGCUGAAUUUGAUCAGGUUGCGUCUAGGAAAAAUGUCUUCGCAUCGAGCUUGAAUUCAGCUUCCCCUCCUUUUUACCCUUCAGGAUCCUCCAAUAAAGAGAUCAACCUUACACAGAAAAGGGAUGUUCAAACUGGAAAUACCAACAGGAAUCUUCGCCCAUCCAGUGUGGACAGUGCUGUGCUCCGAGGAAAGAAUAUACCUGAGUCUGUCGGCAUGGACAAACUCAACAUUGAUGAUUCGUCCAGUUCAGUUGCUGGGAAGACAGUGAGUAAUAUUAGUACGCAAAUGUCACCUUCAGGAGCGGUGUUGCCUAAUACUGUUAAUACUGCUCAUUCUUCUCAGUCAAGGAUUCACGGUAGGGCUGUCAUUCCUGGACAGAUGGCUUAUCAACCAAGUCCUCAUAACCAGGCCAUAAGAGGUUCCUUAUCAGCACAACCACAUGCUGCUCAGCGAAGUCCAGUUCAAGGUCGAGGACAAACUUUUGUGCAAGUUUCUGCACAGCAAGUAGGACAGCGUCCUGGUAGUGGUUCUCAAUCUUCCUCUCCACCAAACACAGCUCUGUCGGUAAAUUCCUUUGAAACUGGUGAAGUGGUUUCAUCUUCAGAGGUAAAUAAAUCUAAAACAGCUCUGGUUGCUAAGGGAAAAGGUGUUAUUCAAGGUAAUGGAAGGGGCUCUGUUAUGUAUGGUGGGGCCCAGGUCAUUGGGGCCACGGGUAGCAUGGGUGUAAGUCAUGGAGAUCAGAACUUCCCUGGUGCUCCGACCUUUCUUCCAGUCAUGCAAUUUGGAGGUCAGCAUCCUGGUGGUAUUGGGGUUCCUGCUGUAGGGAUGGCAUUUCCUGGAUAUGUUGCUCAGCCACAGGGUCUUGGUCUUGGAAAUUCUGAGAUGACAUGGUUACCAGUUCUGGCCGGUGCUGCAGGAGCCUACUGUUCACCGUAUCUUGCUGUUGAUGGUUCUUACCAUGCUCGCCCAUCUGGACAGUCAUCUUCUGGAGGUGCUGCAAGCAAAGAAGAUAUUGCAAACAAAACCAGUAAUGAAUGGAAGUCUCCACAAAAGCCUGACUCAGUGAAUGAUGAAUUUGGACAGCGUCAAAAUAAGCCUCGCAGAUAUUCAGAGAUGAACUUUGGUCAAUGAAGUACUUAAAUAGGGUGAAGCUUGUUUGAAUAAGCAGAUAAAAGUUUUGCUUGAAUAAAACUGUCUUUACUUUGGGCAUCGGAAACUUCUGAGUUGUGAGAAACUGGUAUCUCAUGCCUUCCUCUAGGUCCUCUGUGUUUUCCGGCUUUAUUCUGGGGCACUUUGGGCCGCAAUGUGUUACAACAUAUGUUAGUUUUGUAUGGCAAACGCCUCUCAAUGCUGCAUUCAGUUUAAGAUCAAUAUUGCAGCUUGACAGGUGGCAGUUCCUCAUUAAAAUGUGCGGUUUUCUUGUUGCUUGUUUUUCUAGGUGAAGCUUGUGAGAAAUUUAGGCGGGCUUCUCUUUGAUCCGUAUACCCAAAAAAAGGAAAAAUAAGAAAAAAAAAAUAAGGAAAAAAAAUAGGGCAAGAAUGAUUGUGCAGAGCUGCUGUUACCUUGGUGAAGCUUUUUCUGUUUCUGAAUAAUCUUUAGUAUAAAUGGUGCAUAUUGUUUUCUUAUUCAUUUUAGCCUACUUUUGCUGGUUUUGAAAUUGAAAGAACUUUUUCUAUUUGGGUUGGUGACUGAAAACUUCUAUGCUGGGGAUUAUAAGGAAUGGUGGUUAAGAGUGUUCAUGUGAUGAGGGAACUUUUAUAAUUUGUUUUGCUGUGAUGAGUGAGUUGAUGUUUUCAUAUGAAAGACUUGUGUUUUUUUUUAUGCAAAUGCAAAGGUUUGGCUAUCAUGAUUGUGGUUGCUCAAAAUAUAUGGAGUAGUACUCUUUAUGAAUUUAAUGAAACUCUCAUUAUUUA